Molecule: ribosomal RNA, 447 nt
Filed under: uncultured bacterium
Lineage: Bacteria
Description: bacterial SSU rRNA
Rfam family: Bacterial small subunit ribosomal RNA
Source: RNAcentral
UGGGGAAUCUUGGACAAUGGGCGCAAGCCUGAUCCAGCCAUGCCGCGUGGAUGAUGAAGGCCUUAGGGUUGUAAAAUCCUUUCGCCGAGGACGAUAAUGACGGUACUCGGAGAAGAAGCUCCGGCUAACUUCGUGCCAGCAGCCGCGGUAAUACGAAGGGGGCUAGCGUUGUUCGGAUUUACUGGGCGUAAAGCGCGUGUAGGCGGGUCGUUAAGUUGGGGGUGAAAUCCCGAGGCUCAACCUCGGAACUGCCUUCAAAACUGGCGACCUGGACCUAAGUAGAGGCAAGUGGAAUUGCGAGUGUAGAGGUGAAAUUCGUAGAUAUCAAGAGGAACACCUGAGGUGAAGACGGGUUGCUGGGCUGACACUGACGCUGAGGCGCGAAAGCCAGGGGAGCAAACGGGAUUAGAUACCCCCGUAGUCCCUGAGCGGGCUGGCAAGGCGCAU